Long non-coding RNA from Nematostella vectensis (starlet sea anemone), 189 nucleotides. RefSeq lists it as uncharacterized. The transcript has 2 exons. Lineage: Eukaryota; Metazoa; Cnidaria; Anthozoa; Actiniaria; Edwardsiidae. The record is from RefSeq and is a predicted model, not a curated record.
UCAAGAAAGAGUGUUAUGAUGGGCCGAAGCUCAAAGUCGGAAAUUUAAAGUUUAAUAGACGGCUAAUCCCCGGGUCGAUUCCAACCGAGGACGGCGGUAAGAAGACAGAAGAGGAACCGUCCGCUCGUGAGCAAAGACACAAGCGCAGAUCAGUCCUAACUGACCACUUUGGCCCAGUUCCACAUAAAA